This 375-nucleotide long non-coding RNA is filed under the name Cyanistes caeruleus (blue tit). RNAcentral's name for it is "lncRNA (ENSCCEG00000013795.1)". Lineage: Eukaryota; Metazoa; Chordata; Aves; Passeriformes; Paridae. The record is from RNAcentral.
ACCUUUUUAACAGAAUAUGAAAUGUGUGUUUAAGAUACCUUGGAGCUACGAUGGCAUUUUGAUAGUAAAAGCUGUCAGCUACUGCAGGUACAGAACCAAAUAUGUAAGAAACAGCCAACAGAGAGAUUCGGGAGGAAAUAGACUUUGUGAAGAAACACAGCCCUCUGCUGGAAGAAAAGCUGAAUCCAAGGACAAAGCCGUGGAGGAUGUACGAAAAGGAAUGAGUUAAAGCAUUCUGAAUUUAUUUGGACCGAAUACUGUAUGGAGUAAAAGAAACAGAGGAGAAGAUUAUAGAGGAUGAAAAACACCUUGAGGAGUUAGUGAAGCAAAAAGCAGAAAUCCAGGAAGAUGCAAAAUGUUGGAACAGCAAAGUGA